This 497-nucleotide ribosomal RNA is filed under the name uncultured bacterium. RNAcentral's name for it is "partial 16S ribosomal RNA". It matches the Rfam family "Bacterial small subunit ribosomal RNA", at positions 28 to 507 of the family's 1533-position model. The record is from RNAcentral.
GAUGAACGCUGGCGGCGUGCCUAAUACAUGCAAGUCGAGCGAACAGACGAGGAGCUUGCUCCUCUGAUGUUAGCGGCGGACGGGUGAGUAACACGUGGAUAACCUACCUAUAAGACUGGGAUAACUUCGGGAAACCGGAGCUAAUACCGGAUAACAUGUUGAACCGCAUGGUUCAACAGUGAAAGACGGUCUUGCUGUCACUUAUAGAUGGAUCCGCGCCGCAUUAGCUAGUUGGGAAGGUAACGGCUUACCAAGGCAACGAUGCGUAGCCGACCUGAGAGGGUGGUCGGCCACACGGGAACUGAGACACGGUCCAGACUCCUACGGGAGGCAGCAGUAGGGAAUCUUCCGCAAUGGGCGAAAGCCUGACGGAGCAACGCCGCGUGAGUGAAGAAGGUCUUCGGAUCGUAAAACUCUGUUAUUAGGGAAGAACAAAUGUGUAAGUAACUAUGCACGUCUUGACGGUACCUAAUCAGAAAGCCACGGCUAACUACGUG